Molecule: transfer RNA, 71 nt
Filed under: Canis lupus familiaris (dog)
Lineage: Eukaryota; Metazoa; Chordata; Mammalia; Carnivora; Canidae
Also listed under: 2 other names
Rfam family: tRNA
About the family: Transfer RNA (tRNA) molecules are approximately 80 nucleotides in length. Their secondary structure includes four short double-helical elements and three loops (D, anti-codon, and T loops).
Source: Rfam by way of RNAcentral
GCCUGGUUGGCUCAGUCAGCAGAGCAUGACUCUUAAUCUCAGGGUUGUGAAUUCGAGUCCCACAUUGGGCA